Molecule: long non-coding RNA, 2216 nt
Filed under: Heterocephalus glaber (naked mole-rat)
Lineage: Eukaryota; Metazoa; Chordata; Mammalia; Rodentia; Bathyergidae
Description: lncRNA (ENSHGLG00000036801.1)
Source: RNAcentral
CUGCGCGUAGGAAACUUUAUUAGGGCUUGGGCUUUAGGACCACAGUGGACUGCCUGCAGGGAGCCACUUUAGUCCUGUGAUCAAGGACGCGGCUCUGUGUCCCCGCAGAGGGCAACUGUCCUGCAGCUUGGAUGUGGGGCAGGGGGUGUCUGCUGUGGUGCCACGGGGACAGAUGGGGACACGCUGGGCAGGAGGGGCUGCAGCCCCGCGCCGUGAGUGAGGUGUGGGGAUCUGGCAUGUGUCGGAGCCCUCCUCCCCACGAAGAGGUGUGAGCAGACCCUUGUGUUACCUGGCCCAGCCCACUCCACCACAGGACCUUUGCACGGUCCUGCCUCUCCCCGGCUGACUGUCCCCGAGGUCACUGCACUGUGGCUCUCUCCUUGGCUCUCUGCCACCAGGGGCAGCCUGGGUUCCUGAGCCCCUGGUCCCCAGGCCAGGCGAGGCUGGGAGUGCACCCCACACCCCCAGGUGUCCCCGCCUGCCCCAGACGCAGCACCCUGUCUUGCCAGCCCCUCUCCUUCCUCCCCAACCCCACUCCUGGUGCAGGGCUCGGGAGCCCCUCCACGGCCAGGUGGGUCUGUCCAUGAGUCCAGGCCCGAGGGUCCUCGCCAGGUGCCUGGGUGGCCUGGAGAGCAGGGGGUCUCACAGGGGCCCCAGCACCGCGGAGCGAGGACCUGGCUGGGUUUCCGGGCAGAGUUCGAUCUGUGGCCACCCUGGCAGGGUGUGAGCCUUCUGUGUGCAGUGGGGGAGCCGAGCUCCUGGCUGCUCCUCUUGUGCACCUCGCUAGGACCCUGGCCGGGAGGACCAGGAGCCAGGAGGGACAGGGAGGCCAGGCCGAGUCGGGGGUCCGGGAGGCUCCAGGCGGAAGCGGGGUGCACAGACCCGCACGGGGAUCCUGCAGGUGGCCACUGGCUGCGGUCCGCACACACGGUCUCACGGGGCCCGUGCCAGAGCGCCCAGCGCGCCAGGCAGCAGGGGUGGCAGGAGCAGGGGCAGUGUGCGUGCGGCAGCCGAGCAGGAGCACACGGCCGGCCCGUCCUGCGUGCGGCCCUGGGGCCCGCCCUGUGCCCCGCCCACGCUCACGCCGGCCCGGGGCUCCCCGCACACCAGCCAGUCCCGCGCAGUGGACUGUGGGUACCCAGCUGCCGCCUCCAGCUCGCCGUCCAGCACCUUCCAGUACUCCUGGCCGCGGAAGAACCCGCGCUCACCAUCGGACCAGCGCAUGGCGUCGUCCAGCCUGCUGGGGACCCCCCUCCACAGGGGGCCCUGGGCAGGGUAGCCGGGGUCCAUGCUCCGCGUGUGGUCGUCGUGAGCGCCAGUACAGCUGGUCCUUGAAGAAGUAAGUCCGGUCAUUGUGGGCCCAGGCGAAGGCUGCGUCCACGCCGCCUGGCGGGAGGCUGAAGUCGGAGAUGGGCCGAGGGUACCCUUCCUCGACGUUGUUGUCCUUGAACACCCAGUAUCGGUCUCCUGGGGGCGAGAGCACCAAAGCGCGCAGAAACAGAGACAGAGAGGGCAGUCAGGCUCGGCCCUGGCCUGAACACCCCUGCGCCGUCCUGGGCAGGGGUGGCCGUGGCAGUCGAGUCCUCCCUGGUGUGCACUGAGCGCCUCACACCACAGCUCUGGGCGGCUGGCUGCCUCGGACCCAAGCUCCGCUCCAGAUGCCACUUAGGGCACAAGGGGACCCAGGAAGGGCGACAGCGCAGGACUGGGAGCUUCCCGGGCUGAACCCUGCUGCCCACGUGGUCUCCACACCUCCCAGGACGUGCACCGGACAAAAUUUCAAGGCCCUCUGUGGACAAAACCUUGGGUGUCUCUAAGAAGACGUCCUGUCACCCCACACCAGAGAGGCUGAGGGAGGAGGGUGGCAGGGAGUUUGAGGCCGCCUGGGCUACACAGUGGGACCCUGCCUCAUGAAACCAAGACUGAAAACCCAACAGGCCCUCUGGACGGCAGAGGGUGGACAAGGCUCGGCACACCUUGGUCAGCAGGAAGCACAGUGGACGCCAGCGAGCCUGCGCUGUGGACAGGAAGCUACUGCCGGGCUGAGGUCUGCAGAGCUCAGACCAGGUGUAGAGGAGGGGAGGGGACUCCUGGCCCCACACAAGGCUGAGCUCAGAGCACAGGCAGCCCAGGGCCUCAGGCCGCCCAACAGAAAGCAGGAUGGGGGCCAGGGAGCCUGGGUUUCAUGGGCUGGGAUCCAGCAGGGAGGAUCCACG